This is a long non-coding RNA of Strongylocentrotus purpuratus (purple sea urchin), 660 nucleotides long. RefSeq lists it as uncharacterized. The record is from RefSeq and is a predicted model, not a curated record. The transcript has 3 exons. Lineage: Eukaryota; Metazoa; Echinodermata; Echinoidea; Camarodonta; Strongylocentrotidae.
GGAUCAAGACAUCUUCAUUUGCCAAUUCAGCUGUUCAAUUUUGCCAAGAGCAGCUAUGGUAAUGCAUCUGUAAAGUUGUUCAUAUAUUCUAACUUCCAGCAUUUUUCCUUUGUUGCACUUUUUGACAGUCUGGAGGAGCAUGGACUGACCCAGGCUGCACACAACACUGCCUUUGUCGAGGUGGGCUUGCAGAGUGUUCCGAAUUCCAGUGUGGAGAGAACGAAGAAUGCGAAAUCAGGAACGGUUUUCCAAGCUGUUACUGCAGAGAUGGCUACACCUCUCUCGGAGAUGCCUGCUUCAGAGCUCCUGGGUAUUGCCAGAUCUGGGGUGACCCCCAUUAUGUGACCUUUGACGAUAAGAAAUAUAACUUCCAGGGUGAUUGUGACUACACGCUGGUCAGAGAUUGCCAGAAUUCCAGUGACUACCACCUGUGGUCCAACAAUGAACGGCUGCGCCCAUCUGACAGUGUUUCUUACCUGAGGGAAGUGGUACUUGACCUGAGCGAUAGAAGAUACGCUCUGAUCAAGGGCUUCCAUGUCAGAGUGAAUGGAAGAGAUGUCUCUGAAAACCUGCCUUACAUGGAUGAGCAAGUGUGGAUCUACAGGGAUGUGACAUCCAUGAAUCUGGUAACAGAUUUCUUAUGGGUUAGCUACGAUGGAU